UAAUACAUGCAAGUCGUGCGGACCGAAAGGGAGCUUGCUCCCUGGAGGUUAGCGGCGGACGGGUGAGUAACACGUGGGUAACCUGCCUGCCAGACCGGGAUAACGACGGGAAACCGUCGCUAAUACCGGAUACGCUCAUGCGCUCGCAUGGGUGUGGGAGGAAAGGAGGCAACUCCGCUCGAGGAGGGGUCCGCGGCCCAUUAGCUAGUUGGUAGGGUAACGGCCUACCAAGGCGACGAUGGGUAGCCGGCCUGAGAGGGCGACCGGCCACACUGGGACUGAGACACGGCCCAGACUCCUACGGGAGGCAGCAGUCGGGAAUUUUGCGCAAUGGGGGAAACCCUGACGCAGCAACGCCGCGUGAGUGAGGAAGGCCUUCGGGUUGUAAAGCUCUGUCAGCCGGGACGAACGGUCCUGCGAUGAGCAGGGAUUGACGGUACCGGCGGAGGAAGCCCCGGCUAACUACGUGCCAGCAGCCGCGGUAAUACGUAGGGGGCGAGCGUUGUCCGGAAUUACUGGGCGUAAAGGGCGUGUAGGCGGCCAAUCAAGUCAUGGGUGAAAGCCUGCAGCUUAACUGCGGAAUUGCCUGUGAAACUGGUUGGCUUGAGGGCCGGAGAGGGCAGUGGAAUUCCCGGUGUAGCGGUGAAAUGCGUAGAGAUCGGGAGGAACACCAGUGGCGAAGGCGGCUGCCUGGACGGUACCUGACGCUGAGGCGCGAAAGCUCGGGGAGCGAACGGGAUUAGAUACCCCGGUAGUCCGAGCCGUAAACGAUGAGUGCUAGGUGUGGUGGGUAUCGACCCCUGCCGUGCCGGAGUUAACGCAAUAAGCACUCCGCCUGGGGAGUACGGCCGCAAGGCUGAAACUCAAAGGAAUUGACGGGGGCCCGCACAAGCAGCGGAGCAUGUGGUUUAAUUCGACGCAACGCGCAGAACCUUACCAGGGCUUGACAUCCCCUGACGGCUCCAGAGAUGGAGCGUCCCGUAUGGGCAGGGAGACAGGUGGUGCAUGGUUGUCGUCAGCUCGUGUCGUGAGAUGUUGGGUUAAGUCCCGCAACGAGCGCAACCCUCGUGCUAUGUUGCCAGCAGGUAAAGCUGGGCACUCAUAGCAGACUGCCGGGGACAACUCGGAGGAAGGUGGGGAUGACGUCAAAUCAUCAUGCCCCUUAUGUCCUGGGCUACACACGUGCUACAAUGGCCGGUACAGACGGUAGCGAAGCGGUGACGCGGAGCCAAUCCGAGAAAACCGGUCUCAGUUCGGAUCGCAGGCUGCAACUCGCCUGCGUGAAGCCGGAGUUGCUAGUAAUCGCGGAUCAGCAUGCCGCGGUGAAUACGUUCCCGGGCCUUGUACACACCGCCCGUCACACCACGAAAGUCGGCAACACCCGAAGCCGGUGAGGUAACCGCAAGGAGCCAGCCGUCGAAGGUGGGGCUGAUGAUUGGGGGUGAAGUCGUAACAAGGUAGCCGUAUCGGAAGG
Molecule: ribosomal RNA, 1474 nt
Filed under: uncultured compost bacterium
Lineage: Bacteria
Description: bacterial SSU rRNA
Rfam family: Bacterial small subunit ribosomal RNA
Source: RNAcentral